RNAcentral lists this ribosomal RNA (1299 nucleotides) under Alkalibacillus halophilus. Its description in RNAcentral is "bacterial SSU rRNA". It matches the Rfam family "Bacterial small subunit ribosomal RNA", at positions 118 to 1404 of the family's 1533-position model. The record is from RNAcentral. Lineage: Bacteria; Bacillati; Bacillota; Bacilli; Caryophanales; Bacillaceae.
UGGGCAACCUACCUGUGAGACGGGGAUAACUCCGGGAAACCGGGGCUAAUACCGGAUAACGCAUCGAACCGCAUGGUUCGGUGAUCAAAGAUGGCUUCUAGCUAUCACUCGCAGAUGGGCCCGCGGCGCAUUAGUUAGUUGGUGGGGUAAUGGCUCACCAAGGCGACGAUGCGUAGCCGACCUGAGAGGGUGAUCGGCCACACUGGGACUGAGACACGGCCCAGACUCCUACGGGAGGCAGCAGUAGGGAAUCAUCCGCAAUGGACGAAAGUCUGACGGUGCAACGCCGCGUGAGCGAUGAAGGUCUUCGGAUCGUAAAGCUCUGUUGUGAGGGAAGAACAAGUGCCGUUCGAAUAGGGCGGCACCUUGACGGUACCUCACCAGAAAGCCCCGGCUAACUACGUGCCAGCAGCCGCGGUAAUACGUAGGGGGCAAGCGUUGUCCGGAAUUAUUGGGCGUAAAGCGCGCGCAGGCGGUUCCUUAAGUCUGAUGUGAAAGGCCACAGCUCAACUGUGGAGGGCCAUUGGAAACUGGGGAACUUGAGGACAGAAGAGGAGAGCGGAAUUCCACGUGUAGCGGUGAAAUGCGUAGAUAUGUGGAGGAACACCAGUGGCGAAGGCGGCUCUCUGGUCUGUAACUGACGCUGAGGCGCGAAAGCAUGGGUAGCGAACAGGAUUAGAUACCCUGGUAGUCCAUGCCGUAAACGAUGAGUGCUAGGUGUUAGGGGGUCCAACCCUUAGUGCUGCAGUUAACGCAAUAAGCACUCCGCCUGGGGAGUACGGCCGCAAGGCUGAAACUCAAAGGAAUUGACGGGGGCCUGCACAAGCGGUGGAGCAUGUGGUUUAAUUCGACGCAACGCGAAGAACCUUACCAGGUCUUGACAUCUUCGGACAGCCCAAGAGAUUGGGUCUUCCCUUCGGGGACCGAAUGACAGGUGGUGCAUGGUUGUCGUCAGCUCGUGUCGUGAGAUGUUGGGUUAAGUCCCGUAACGAGCGCAACCCCUGAUCUUAGUUGCCAGCAUUUAGUUGGGCACUCUAGGAUGACUGCCGGUGACAAACCGGAGGAAGGCGGGGAUGACGUCAAAUCAUCAUGCCCCUUAUGACCUGGGCUACACACGUGCUACAAUGGAUGGUACAAAGGGAAGCUAAACCGCGAGGUCAAGCUAAUCCCAUAAAGCCAUUCUCAGUUCGGAUUGUAGGCUGCAACUCGCCUGCAUGAAGCCGGAAUCGCUAGUAAUCGCGGAUCAGAAUGCCGCGGUGAAUACGUUCCCAGGCCUUGUACACACCGCCCGUCACACCA